This is a long non-coding RNA of Oreochromis aureus, 690 nucleotides long. RefSeq lists it as uncharacterized. NCBI's taxonomy places the organism in Eukaryota, Metazoa, Chordata, Actinopteri, Cichliformes, Cichlidae. The record is from RefSeq and is a predicted model, not a curated record. The transcript is spliced from 3 exons.
AUUAGCUAAACUCCAGCAUUAGCUAGCAUACCAUGUUUACCUUAAACCGUAAAUUUAAAUGGAAGCAGCAGCAGAGGAGUUUUCAUAUUAUUUGGUGCAAGAUAAAGCGAGAGACAAUGGAAAUGAGGCAGAUGAGAGAGAACAAGAACAGCUCAGGGAAAGGACUCUGUGAUGCCAGGUGAAGAUGCACAGCCUCAUGUUUUGAGCCACAAUUUGGACCCCUCUCUCUGGCAGCAGUUUGCCCAGGGUUGAAAUGACUCUCUCUUCGACUGGAAUACAGUAUGUUUCUAAUGCACCUCAACCCAAAUGACUGAUGGCACAGUCUCUCCAAAGAGCUGGAAGAUGCCUAUUUCUAGCUCCAUGACCAUAUUUGGCACUGACCUCAGGAAAAGGAAAUAAUGCUACCCAUGUCACCCUCCCUUCUUUGCUGGUUAUUUUUGACCAUCCCCCUUACAGCUCCCUUAACCCCCAAGCUCUUUUGUACUCCUUUUGAUAAACAUCAAAUGGCCUUUUUAAAAGAAAAGAAAAAACUCCUUACAGAAUGACUUUUAUGGUCCGAAGAGUCUAAGCAGGAGAGACUUCUGAGAUGAGUGCAGUCAUGUACAUUAAUGUAUCCCCAGUGGUUAACCCUUUAGGCUGGCUCGUGCCUCGAUAGUUUAUUUUUACUCACAUGUUACAUCAGGGGCAUGU